RNAcentral lists this ribosomal RNA (531 nucleotides) under Calopteryx virgo x Calopteryx splendens. RNAcentral describes it as "partial 16S ribosomal RNA". It matches the Rfam family "Bacterial large subunit ribosomal RNA", at positions 1809 to 2608 of the family's 2925-position model. Lineage: Eukaryota; Metazoa; Arthropoda; Insecta; Odonata; Calopterygidae. The record is from RNAcentral.
AAAAACMUGUYCUYUUGUKUUUUAUGUGRGGUYGUACCUGCCCAGUGAAUUUAUUUUAACGGCCGCGGUAUCUUGACCGUGCAAAGGUAGCAUAAUCAUUAGUCUUUUAAUAGAAGGCUGGAAUGAAGGGUUUGACGAAGUACUAUCUGUCUCAAUUUAAUAUUAUUGAAUUUAACUUUUGUGUUAAAAGGCUCAAAUUUUUUUGUAGGACGAGAAGACCCUAUAGAGCUUUAAGGUUUAUUUAUAUUAACUAUUUUUAUUUAAUUUUUUAGGUUAUUAUUUAAGCUUUUUUGUUGGGGUGACAAGAGAUAUAUAAUUAACUUUUAUUAUUUAUCAUACAUUUAUUUAUGGUUUUUAGAUCCAUUAUUAUUGAUUAUUAGAUUAAGUUACCUUAGGGAUAACAGCGUAAUCUUCCUCCAGAGUUCAAAUUUACAGGAAGGCUUGCGACCUCGAUGUUGGAUUAAGAUAAUAGUUAGGUGUAGUAGCUUGAUUUAUAGGUCUGUUCRACCUUUAAAAUCUUACGKGAUCUGA